CAAUAGCGUAUAUUAAAGUUGUUGCAGUUAAAAAGCUCGUAGUUGGAUUUCGGGAUGGCCCGGCCGGUCUGCCGCAAGGUAUGUUACUGGCCGAGCUGUUCUUCUUCGCAAAGACUGUGUGUGCUCUUAACUGAGUGUGCUCAGGAUCUGUGACGUUCACUUUGAAAAAAUUAGAGUGUUCAAAGCAAGCCAGCGCUUGAAUACAUAAGCAUGGAAUAAUGGAAUAGGACUUUGGUUCUAUUUUGUUGGUUUCUGGAACCUUAGUAAUGAUUAAGAGAGACAGUUGGGGGCAUUCGUAUUUCGUUGUCAGAGGUGAAAUUCUUGGAUUUACGAAAGACGAACUACUGCGAAAGCAUUUGCCAAGAAUGUUUUCAUUAA
This 378-nucleotide ribosomal RNA is filed under the name uncultured eukaryote. RNAcentral describes it as "partial 18S ribosomal RNA". It matches the Rfam family "Eukaryotic small subunit ribosomal RNA", at positions 592 to 976 of the family's 1831-position model. The record is from RNAcentral.